CCUACGGAGGCAGCAGUGGGGAUCUUGCACAUGGAGGAAACUCUGAUGCAGCGAUGCCGCGUGAGUGAAGAAGGCCCUUGGGUUGUAAAGCUUUUCCGGGAAGAAAAUGACUGUACCCGAAUAAGAAGGUCCGGCUUAUUCGUGCCAGCAGCCGCGGUAA
This 160-nucleotide ribosomal RNA is filed under the name uncultured marine bacterium. Its description in RNAcentral is "partial 16S ribosomal RNA". It matches the Rfam family "Bacterial small subunit ribosomal RNA", at positions 338 to 523 of the family's 1533-position model. The record is from RNAcentral.